GCGUAAUAGCUCACUGGUCGAGUCGGCCUGCGCGGAAGAUGUAACGGGGCUAAACCAUGCACCGAAGCUGCGGCAGCGACACUAUGUGUUGUUGGGUAGGGGAGCGUUCUGUAAGCCGUUGAAGGUGGCCUGUGAGGGUUGCUGGAGGUAUCAGAAGUGCGAAUGCUGACAUAAGUAACGAUAAUGCGGGUGAAAAACCCGCACGCCGGAAGACCAAGGGUUCCUGUCCAACGUUAAUCGGGGCAGGGUGAGUCGACCCCUAAGGCGAGGCCGAAAGGCGUAGUCGAUGGGAAACAGGUUAAUAUUCCUGUACUUGGUGUUACUGCGAGGGGGGGACGGAGAAGGCUAUGUUAGCCGGGCGACGGUUGUCCCGGUUUAAGCAUGUAGGCGGAGAUUCCAGGUAAAUCCGGAGUCUUGUUAACGCUGAGGUGUGAUGACGAGGCACUACGGUGCUGAAGUAACAAAUGCCCUGCUUCCAGGAAAAGCCUCUAAGCAUCAGGUAACACAAAAUCGUACCCCAAACCGACACAGGUGGUCAGGUAGAG
RNAcentral lists this ribosomal RNA (545 nucleotides) under Citrobacter braakii. Its description in RNAcentral is "partial 23S ribosomal RNA". It matches the Rfam family "Bacterial large subunit ribosomal RNA", at positions 1132 to 1676 of the family's 2925-position model. Lineage: Bacteria; Pseudomonadati; Pseudomonadota; Gammaproteobacteria; Enterobacterales; Enterobacteriaceae. The record is from RNAcentral.